GCAAGAAUUUUGCUGGAAGUCUGUUUAGGAGAUCCAUGUGGUCAUGUUGUGUUAGAUUUUGGCCAGUUUCCUAGAAAUCUAUCACAUGUAGAUUUUAAACCUCAGCCAUCCCUGGGUAUGUCUGGUGCAUGUACAAAAGAGAAAUGCUUCUGUCUUCAGCAGCAUUGAAUUUUUUACUUAUACAUUGUAAAACUUUAUGAAGCAGAGCUGUAGUACAACCCUGCAAGUGCACAGCCCAUUGGUACUGUUGUAAUCAUUCAAUUGAGAGGCCUGUAUGGGCAUUCAAUAGGUAAUGGACUGGAUCAGUUCAGCUUGACUGUUGGGAUUUUAUUGUUCUCCCCACCUUGCUGACAGCUGCUUAUUAGUGUGCAGAGCUUUGGGGAAGCCAGGAAAUGAUCUCUCCACUCUUUCCCUCAUUGUGUGGAUCAGUAUUUUAGUGGAUAGUGGAGGUCUUUACCCAACCUCUGAGGAGGAUCACAGAACUGACUGGGAAUGAUUCAAGGCCUGGAGGGACGUGUAUGGGGCCUGAAAAGAUAAUUACUCCACGGACUUUCCUGUUAUCCCCCAGUUUUAUACCAAGUUUAAUGUACUCCCAUGUUAAUUCCCCUUGGUUUGUAUUGUUCAGGGCUUGCCUGGACUUGCCCUCAUGUUUUUCCCGCCAAAAGUUGUUUACUCCCUUGUUCUCCUCUGGUUUUCCCGCUCAUCUCUCACUGAUUGGCUGAUGGAUGCCGCAGUGCAGAGUGAGCUCCCAUUGGUCCUUUCCCCUGGAUACUCCAAAGUUCCACCCAUCUUUCUCCUAUUCCCCAAUCCCAUUCUGCCCUGAGUUGUCAAUCCCAUGCUCCGCCCCAGUUGUGGAACCUCCCCUUGCCCAAACCUUAUAUAAGUCCUUGUUUCCCCCAAUAAACUGGCCAUUGCACCCUGACCUUCUACUGUGUCAGAACCCUCUGUGCAGUGUCUCGUCCCUAUUCCUUUUACCCUCGGACCGUGGCGAUCCUCCAUUGCCCUCCCUGCUCUGUGAAGUUCCAAUUCUCGGGAUUUUGCAGGUUCUGUCUCCCAGACCAAAGGUGUUGGAAAGCCCAUCCUCUCACUUUGAUUAAUGCUGAUAGGAUUUGUGACUGUAGAGCACCAUGCAGUGAGUUGAGAUUCUAUGCCAAUGUGAUUUUUUUAUUCUUUCUUUUGUUGUUCUAUAUAUUAUCUUUCAUAAGCAGAAAACAGAAUUCAUUCUGCAUAGUUGAAGGAAUCAACAUCAGCAGGGGGGAAGAAGGUGUCUUCAUCAAAUUAAAGUCAUUUACUGUCACAUGCAUAUAUAACCACUGCUCUGCACCAUGAAAUAUGUUAAUGGAUGCAUAGUCUGUCAGCUCUAGGCCAUCAAAUUAAAUCAGGCCCAAGCUGGCAAAGAUCAACAGUCUUUAUUCUCUGUUGGUUGUACAGGACAUGGUGUGGAACUAAAUUAUCAAGUUCAUCCCUCUGUCUGCUGAGUGUGGUGCAGGCCACCGAUUUAAGAGCAUCAGGUUGGUUUACUUUCUGCACACGUCUUAAUUGAGAUGAAAAGCUUAAAGUCUGAUCCCAAACCAAAUGAGAUCUCUUGAAGGAUGAUUUCUUUCAUAGACUUUGAAGCAGCUGCAAGAAAUGGGUGCAAUCUGAGUAACCCUGUGAGUUGUAUCCAGAGGGUGGCUCAGUCCUGAUAUUAAAGGGUGCUGAUGUUGAAAACCUUUCAUGUUUUUCUGUCAAAAACACUGAGGCACUUGAUAUGGAUGAUUGUACCAUACUGUUACAGAUUAGGAAUUCAGGGGAAUUUUUUUUCCCCUUCUCCACUCCAAGGGAAAGCUGAGUGAGCAGGGGGGGAAGGGAGGUCAUUAGCUUUACAAAGGAUGUACCCUGGCCCUGCUGAUGGGCCAUUUGGAGAUGCUGGGGAGAGAGGAGGGGCUGGCUCUGUUCUGGGGGGAGAGGGGCAGACUGCAUUGUUGGCUCUCGGAGUGAGACGGGGGUCUGCGUGCACGCGGGCAUUUGGGGAGGGGGACUGGAGGUCUGGUUUUUCUGGCUGCUCAUCCUGGUCAGCUCGACUUCUCAUCCUGCUGGCUUCGACCUGGCUGGCUGUCCCGCUCCCCAAAUCUGCUGUGUUUCAUCGAAGAAUUGUGUUGCCCACAGGAGAGAAGGGAGGAGUUUUGAGACGCUGUCACCUGGGAUAGCGGCUGGGACCGCUCCCGCCGGACCCCUCUCCCCGCGUGGCGACCGCCGGAGCCCAAUAGCGCCCCCUGCUGACCACGACUGGGUACUGCAGGUUCUACACCUUUCAGCGAUCUAACAGUGCCCCCUGCAGGCAAGGCUGGGGUACAGCAAGCCCAACACCUCUAGCGAUCCAACAGCGCCACCUGCAGGCAACAAUUAGGACUGUGCUAAAGGACGGAGAAGUAUUCCUUCAGACCUUCUUUGUUUUCCUAGGACUACUGUCUAAUUUUUUUUGUGUUCUGUUACUGUUUUUUUGCCAACAUACAUAUACCUUUUAAUCAAGGGUUGUUAUUUCUUCUGUUUUUCCACAUUUUCCUCGAGUAAAGCCCCUUAAUUUUGAAUUUACAAUUGCUGAGAGAGAGGAGUUUGGUCUACCUCAUAACUCAUCCUCUUUAGCAAACAUUCCAGUCUCAUCAGACUGAGACACAUGCUCAAAGCCCUGCUCUACUGAUAGUAAGCUUUUGUCCAGUGGUAUGGUUUUUGGUUUUUUUUCUUCAUUAGUAAUAAGAUACUUACCCUUGAAACAAAACAUUAUUCAAGAAUAAUUAAAAAGUUUUUGCUCUAGGCAUGUGUUCAAUUAAAAGUAAUUUAUCAUUUCUUGCUAGAAAAUGAGGAAAUUCCAACCAAUUAUUAGACAUUUCAUAAGUUCUUACUUUAUUGUACUCCCCUUAAAUUGUCUUUACAUGCAGAAAAGUAAAUUGAAGCUAAAAAAUAUCCCAAAGCCUUUUCAUUUCAAAGACUGGUCUUCCAUGUCGGUUGUGAUGUGCUGCUGUUAUUCAAGAGGUAGAUUAGGCAAUCAUCUUAAUAAAGUGUGAAUAAGAUGAAUGCAGAAAUCUCACAUGCUGCUGGGGCAUACUUCACAAAGCAAAGUAUUUGCUGUUACUAUUAAGUAGGAUAUGAGUCAAUAGAGUACCUGAACAGAAGGUGCUGUAUAUCAUUGUUAGAAAAUUUGGAGUAAUUGCCUUUAUUAUUAAAAUGGAUGGCUUCCUCUAUACCUAAAUGCUCACUUCUUCUUUGCCUUUCUCAUUCCCAGUGGUAAAUGCAAUCUGAUUUAUCGUUGUAUACAAACACUGCAGAAUUACAUGGUCAUGCAGGAUAUAUUUACUGUGAAAGGGUGUAAAUGAUAGUAAAGGAGGAGGGAAUUUGU
Molecule: long non-coding RNA, 3376 nt
Organism: Pseudopipra pipra
Lineage: Eukaryota; Metazoa; Chordata; Aves; Passeriformes; Pipridae
Exons: 2
Source: RefSeq, a predicted model, not a curated record